This 253-nucleotide ribosomal RNA is filed under the name uncultured bacterium. RNAcentral describes it as "partial 16S ribosomal RNA". It matches the Rfam family "Bacterial small subunit ribosomal RNA", at positions 524 to 776 of the family's 1533-position model. The record is from RNAcentral.
UACGGAGGGUGCAAGCGUUGUCCGGAUUUAUUGGGUUUAAAGGGUGCGUAGGCGGCUGAUUAAGUCAGCGGUGAAAUUCCACAGCUCAACUGUGGAACUGCCAUUGAUACUGGUUAGCUUGAGUACAGAUGAGGUAGGCGGAAUUGACAGUGUAGCGGUGAAAUGCUUAGAUAUUGUCAAGAACACCUAUUGCGAAGGCGGCCUGCUGGGCAGUAGCUGACACUGAGGCGCGACAGCGUGGGGAGCAAACAGG